GAUGAACGCUGGCGGCGUGCCUAAUACAUGCAAGUCGAGCGAACGGACGAGAAGCUUGCUUCUCUGAUGUUAGCGGCGGACGGGUGAGUAACACGUGGAUAACCUACCUAUAAGACUGGGAUAACUUCGGGAAACCGGAGCUAAUACCGGAUAAUAUUUUGAACCGCAUGGUUCAAAAGUGAAAGACGGUUUUGCUGUCACUUAUAGAUGGAUCCGCGCUGCAUUAGCUAGUUGGUAAGGUAACGGCUUACCAAGGCAACGAUGCAUAGCCGACCUGAGAGGGUGAUCGGCCACACUGGAACUGAGACACGGUCCAGACUCCUACGGGAGGCAGCAGUAGGGAAUCUUCCGCAAUGGGCGAAAGCCUGACGGAGCAACGCCGCGUGAGUGAUGAAGGUCUUCGGAUCGUAAAACUCUGUUAUUAGGGAAGAACAGAUGUGUAAGUAACUGUGCACAUCUUGACGGUACCUAAUCAGAAAGCCACGGCUAACUACGUG
This 497-nucleotide ribosomal RNA is filed under the name uncultured bacterium. RNAcentral's name for it is "partial 16S ribosomal RNA". It matches the Rfam family "Bacterial small subunit ribosomal RNA", at positions 28 to 507 of the family's 1533-position model. The record is from RNAcentral.